RNAcentral lists this ribosomal RNA (465 nucleotides) under Vreelandella stevensii. RNAcentral describes it as "partial 16S ribosomal RNA". It matches the Rfam family "Bacterial small subunit ribosomal RNA", at positions 338 to 795 of the family's 1533-position model. Lineage: Bacteria; Pseudomonadati; Pseudomonadota; Gammaproteobacteria; Oceanospirillales; Halomonadaceae. The record is from RNAcentral.
CCUACGGGCUGCAGCAGUGGGGAAUAUUGGACAAUGGGGGGAACCCUGAUCCAGCCAUGCCGCGUGUGUGAAGAAGGCCCUCGGGUUGUAAAGCACUUUCAGUGAGGAAGAACGCCUGGUGGUUAAUACCCAUCAGGAAAGACAUCACUCACAGAAGAAGCACCGGCUAACUCCGUGCCAGCAGCCGCGGUAAUACGGAGGGUGCGAGCGUUAAUCGGAAUUACUGGGCGUAAAGCGCGCGUAGGUGGCUUGAUAAGCCGGUUGUGAAAGCCCCGGGCUCAACCUGGGAACGGCAUCCGGAACUGUCAAGCUAGAGUGCAGGAGAGGAAGGUAGAAUUCCCGGUGUAGCGGUGAAAUGCGUAGAGAUCGGGAGGAAUACCAGUGGCGAAGGCGGCCUUCUGGACUGACACUGACACUGAGGUGCGAAAGCGUGGGUAGCAAACAGGAUUAGAUACCCUUGUAGUC